AUAUCAUUAUUUGGGCAUUCCUUGACCAUUGUCCGGUAUCGCUCCCAGAUUUCAUGUAGGGGUUCAUUAGGUUCUUGUUUAAAGGCUAAGAUCUCAUCCCUGAAUGU
This 107-nucleotide small nucleolar RNA is filed under the name Nicotiana tabacum (common tobacco). Its description in RNAcentral is "Plant small nucleolar RNA R71". It matches the Rfam family "Plant small nucleolar RNA R71". From Rfam's summary of the family: R71 is a member of the C/D box family of snoRNAs containing the C (UGAUGA) and D (CUGA) box motifs. Multiple nearly identical copies of this snoRNA have been identified in Arabidopsis, and it is thought to function as a 2'-O-ribose methylation guide for 18S ribosomal RNA. Lineage: Eukaryota; Viridiplantae; Streptophyta; Magnoliopsida; Solanales; Solanaceae. The record is from Rfam by way of RNAcentral.